RNAcentral lists this long non-coding RNA (992 nucleotides) under Homo sapiens (human). RNAcentral describes it as "HSALNT0354604". The record is from RNAcentral. Lineage: Eukaryota; Metazoa; Chordata; Mammalia; Primates; Hominidae.
GCCUCCCAAAGUGCUGGGAUUAUAGGCGUGAACCACCAUGCCUGGCCUUGAUCUAUUAAUACGUCCCAGGAGCUACAGAAUUAUAUUCAUGAACUUUGAAUGACUUCAGUCAAGUCACUUUUCUUCUCUAAGUCUUAUUUCUCAUCUGUAUAAUGUGAGUGAGAGGUGAGGGGUGGGUAGGGGAUAUUGGGUAGGUGGCUACCUGUGAUCUCUACAUUGGGUAGAGGGCUGUGUUCACUAGAGUUCCAGAUUUUCUGUGAUUCUAAGAAGCCUUUGGAAUCUUGGAGUGAGUAUUCCCAGGGAACUCUGAUGUGCUGAAAAGCUCUCCUACAUCGUUGAUGUCAGCUGUGCCUGAGGCUUUUUAAUGGGUCAACAGACCCCAAAGAUCCAGAAGGGUCCUGAGACAUGAAGCUGGUCCUCACAACUCUGCACAGACUAGGAGGCCCAAAGAAGAGAAACAUUCACUACACCAAGUUGCCUGCAUUUGGUCCUGGGUUCAAGCCACCAACUUCUGUCAUUUUAGUAGAAAACAAGCAUAACAACAGCAUUUACUGACAGGGUGUUGGAGCCAAAAAGUGGAAAUGAAACAAACAAGCUUUUCUGGCAGAGAGAAAGAAUCUGCUGGAAGGUCAGACAACCACAAGACUAGAAUUACACAUGACUCUUCCUAGAGCAGCAUGAACAGAAAAUGCUCACAGGAUUGGAAGUCUGAAAACCCGAGGGCUGGAAAGAACCAUUCAGAUCUACAGAGUAUUUUACAGCCUUCAAAACAUUGAAAGUCUCUUAAUUUUUCUACAGACAGCUGUGGGGAAAGUUACCACCACCCAUUUCCCAGAUGAGAAAACUGAGCCUUGGAAAAAUAAAAGAUAUUUCCAAGGGUUGAAGGCAUGUCUUACUUCAAAUUCAGCCUUGGCUAUGUGACCUGAAAAAACUCAGUCCUCAGCUCUGUUCUUAGUUUUACUAUCUGUAAAAUAAAGAGGUUGAUUUGUAAA